Molecule: non-coding RNA, 205 nt
Organism: Oryza glaberrima (African rice)
Lineage: Eukaryota; Viridiplantae; Streptophyta; Magnoliopsida; Poales; Poaceae
Source: Rfam
AAAAAGAUAAACCCUAGUUUUUCGUGCCAACGUUUGACUGUCCGUCUUAUAUGAAAUUUUUUUAUAAUUAGUAUUUUCAUUGUUGUUAGAUGAUAAAACAUGAUUAAUACUUUAUGCAUGAUUUAUCUUUUUAAUUUUUUUCAUAAUGUUUUUAAAUAAGACGGACGGUCAAACGUUGGACACGGAAAUUAGGGUUUGUCUUUUU